GCUCACUUCGGCAACACAUACUAAAAUUGCAACGAUACAGAGAAGAUUCGCGUGGCCCCUGCGCCAGGAUGACACGCAAAUUCGCGAAGCGUUCCCUAUUAAA
Molecule: small nuclear RNA, 103 nt
Organism: Echinops telfairi (small Madagascar hedgehog)
Lineage: Eukaryota; Metazoa; Chordata; Mammalia; Afrosoricida; Tenrecidae
Source: RefSeq, a predicted model, not a curated record